Molecule: ribosomal RNA, 1610 nt
Filed under: Tadorna ferruginea (ruddy shelduck)
Lineage: Eukaryota; Metazoa; Chordata; Aves; Anseriformes; Anatidae
Description: 16S ribosomal RNA
Rfam family: Bacterial large subunit ribosomal RNA
Source: RNAcentral
AGCCUUCCUCUAGCUCAACCACCUAAACAACGCAAAACUGAACAAAUUCACUAAAUAGGCCCAAAUUAAAGCAUUUUCCAGUCCUAGUAUAGGCGAUAGAAAAGACACUUAGGCGCGAUAGAGACCAGUACCGUAAGGGAAAGAUGAAAUAAUAGUGAAAACUAAAGCAAAAAACAGCAAAGACUAGCCCUUGUACCUUUUGCAUCAUGAUUUAGCAAGAACAACCAAGCAAAGGAACUAAAGUCCCCCCAGGACCGCCGAAACCCAAGCGAGCUACUUACGAGCAGCUAUUAGUACUAAAGGUCUUCUGUUUGCAAAGAGUGGGACGACUUGCCAGUAGUGGUGAAAAGCCAACCGAGCUGGGUGAUAGCUGGUUACCUGUGAAAUGAAUCUAAGUUCUCCCUUAAUCCUCCCUACCGGACACACCCCAAACCACAAUGAGAUGAUUAAGAGUUAUUUAAUGGAGGUGCAGCUCCAUUAAAAAAGGAUACAACCUCGACUAGCGGAUAAAUCUCCCACACAACCUUACCGUGGGCCUUAAAGCAGCCAUCAACAAAGAGUGCGUCAAAGCUCCACAGCCCAAAAAUACCGAAACAAGAUGAAUCCCUUACCACAAACAGGUCAACCUAUGAAUAUAGGAGAAUUAAUGCUAAAAUAAGUAACUUGGGGCCACACCUACCCCUCUAACGGCGCAAGCUUACAUGGAAACAUUAUUAACAGACCCAGGCAUAUACGAAAACUCCUACAAGACCCAGUAUUAACUAAACCUGUUAACCCGACUCAGGAGCGCCCAUAAGAACGAUUAAAAUCUGUGAAAGGAACUCGGCAAACCACAAGGCCCGACUGUUUACCAAAAACAUAGCCUUCAGCAAACAAACAAGUAUUGAAGGUGAUGCCUGCCCAGUGACCCAGGUUAAACGGCCGCGGUAUCCUAACCGUGCAAAGGUAGCGCAAUCAAUUGUCCCAUAAAUCGAGACUUGUAUGAAUGGCUAAACGAGGUCUUAACUGUCUCUCACAGAUAAUCAGUGAAAUUGAUCUUCCCGUGCAAAAGCGGGGAUGUGAACAUAAGACGAGAAGACCCUGUGGAACUUAAAAAUCAACGGCCACCGCGAACCCAAGACCAAACCCACCGGGAUCACUACCAUAUCGCAAGGCAUGGCCGAUAUUUUUCGGUUGGGGCGACCUUGGAGAAAAACAGAUCCUCCAAAAACAAGACCAUACCUCUUUACCUAGAGCCACCCCUCAAAGUGCUAAUAGCGACCAGACCCAAUAUAAUUGAUCAAUGGACCAAGCUACCCCAGGGAUAACAGCGCAAUCCCCCUCAAGAGCCCCUAUCGACAGGGGGGUUUACGACCUCGAUGUUGGAUCAGGACAUCCUAAUGGUGCAGCCGCUAUUAAGGGUUCGUUUGUUCAACGAUUAACAGUCCUACGUGAUCUGAGUUCAGACCGGAGCAAUCCAGGUCGGUUUCUAUCUAUGAACUACUCUCCCCAGUACGAAAGGACCGGGAAAGUGAGGCCAAUACCACAAGCACGCCUUCCCUCUAAAUAGUGAAACCAACUAAACUAUGAAGAGGACUCCUCCCACCACUCCCAAUCCUAGAAAAGGACCA